UCCAGACUUCUCAACCCACGAAUGCCAAAGACAACUUAGGCAUCAUACCCCAAGACGGGCCAUGCUCGCCGCACUUCAUGGAACUCUGCACAGGGGCUGGUCUUUCAAAGCUCUCGUAUGCCGUGGUCACCGCCUGGGUCACUCCUCCAGUUUGGCUCAUUUCAUUCUGCGUCAGUCCAUACAGGUCUUCCUGGCUUUCGUCCUGCCUUUGUGGGAUUUGGACUUUAUUUCUCCUUUCCUAACUCAGCUCCAGAUAUUUCUACAUCUGACACUAGCUGCAAGAAUGGGCAUAUGGCUUAAUUUCUUGGAGCCUCAGUUUUCUCAUCUGUAAACGGAAUAAUAAUAGUGCCUACCUCCCAGGGUUGUUGUGAAGAUCAAACGAACCGACCCAAAGCAUUCUGACAACCUGAAAGCCCUAUAGAAAUGUUAGCUAUUAUUAUUAAUAAUAGAGGAAAACUGGAAAGGCAAGCUUCAACCAAAUUUAAAGAAAAAUUCCCUAUGUAAAGUGGAAUGAGCUGCCUUGAGAGAUAGUGGAUUUCCCUGUACUGGGAGUCCUCCAAGCAGAAGCCGGAGGACCACUUUUGGGGUGGGACAGUGGAGACCCUUUCAAGUACACAGUGGGGUGGAGAAUCUGGGGGUGCCAUCCUUUCUGGCUCGGAGUCUGUGGCUGUUCAUUGCUCAAAAAGUCUCCAAUGGGAAGCCUUUCCUGAUUUACCAGGGUCCCCUCUGACCUCACGUUGCCCCUCCUUGGUGUCUGAUGCCAGGGUCCUCUAACCAGCUCCAUGUGCCAGUACUGUCAGCUUUAGGAGGGCCAGCAGGGCCUUUGUCUCAUCUAAACCCAGCAUUUCCCCAAGGGUUCACUGGGGAUUCUGCAUGCAAGGAUAUUUAUGCCUUCAUGACGCACUGCCACCCCCCACCCCAAAGCAAUGAGGCUUCCAAACCACCCCUCCAUCCUAUCCCUUGGCUGAGCUUGUGAGACCCACAGGCAGAAGGGCAGGCCAGGACACAUCCUGAAGGCCCAGGCUUCAAGAAGUAAUGGUUCCUGGGGGCCCAGCAGCCCCUGCCAACACAGGCUGUCUGGGUGUGACUUAUGGAGACUGGGAACUGCGACUAAGCCCACGAAAAACGUCCCAAUAAAGUGUGAUAUGAAGCAAACUAUCAAUGCCAGACACCUUCUGCUGAACAUGGAGAAAGGGGAGCGUGUGAGCAUGUGUGUGGUACUCCAGGGUGGGGAAUAGGCUGUGGGGAGCAGAGCCCAAGCCUGGCCCCUUUAUUCCAGAGGCAAUGGCUGGGCAAGUACCAGAGGAUGCUGGAAAAAGAAGUGAUGAAAGGCCUAUAACGUCACCACACUGAGACACUGAGGAGCCAUAUCAGCUUCCACCACCAAAGGAAAGAAAGGUGUUUGGCAAAAAACCUAAGAUCUGCCCCCAGACUGAUAAACUAACAGCACCACCAGAAAAGAAUUGGGACCACUUCCCUUAAAACCAAACUCUCACACAAGAAGGACAAUUCCAAUUGGCAAACUGAUGCAAAAUAUUUAUUCCAAGUUAGUUAUUUUUGAUGCAGUAGUUUUUCCCCUUAUACAGACUCAUGUGAUAACCACUUUUUAAAAUCUGUAAAUAAUGUUAUCAAAAUAAUCUUAAUCUUUGAAAUCUCACAAAAAUUUAUAUUUUACAAUCCACCCUGAAUAUCAAGGCUGCAAGAAGAACACAACAAUUCCUAUAUCCAAAUAUUUUACAGCUGUACCCAAAAAGGAAAAAAGGAAACCCACAAAUGCUUGGUUAAGUGAUGAAAGCUGCCCGAGCCGCCAAAAAUGAAAGAAAAUUAAAAAUCCAUGUUAUUUGCAUUAAUUUAACACAAUUAUAACUUCCAUAGUCAUUUUGUCAUUGACAAUGAUUGUUUGAGCACAUUGUGAGUAGCCCCGGGCUCCCGAGGACCCAGGGCAGGCAGGGGGGGCUGGCUGGGGUGGGCGGGGCUGCAUUAGAAAGCUAUGGCUGCCAAAGUCCGGCUCUUGUUCACUUCUGCCACCAGCUCUGUCAACACAUUUAUUGUCCUACACACACAAGCUGCACACAAACUUGUGUGUAUGUGUGUACUUAUAUAUUUAUUUUAUUUUUUUGUCACAAAUUUCCCACCUAUACAAACUUGCCUCUAUUAAGCAUAGAACAGGCUGGACCAAAAAAGAAAAAAAAAAA
Non-coding RNA from Phascolarctos cinereus (koala), 2195 nucleotides. Lineage: Eukaryota; Metazoa; Chordata; Mammalia; Diprotodontia; Phascolarctidae. The record is from RefSeq and is a predicted model, not a curated record.